This 207-nucleotide ribosomal RNA is filed under the name uncultured bacterium. Its description in RNAcentral is "partial 16S ribosomal RNA". It matches the Rfam family "Bacterial small subunit ribosomal RNA", at positions 568 to 774 of the family's 1533-position model. The record is from RNAcentral.
UGCGUAGGUGGGUCUGUAAGUCAGUGGUGAAAUCUCCGAGCUUAACUCGGAAACUGCCAUUGAUACUAUAGGUCUUGAAUCAUCUGGAGGUAAGCGGAAUAUGUCAUGUAGCGGUGAAAUGCUUAGAUAUGACAUAGAACACCAAUUGCGAAGGCAGCUUACUACGGGUGUAUUGACACUGAGGCACGAAAGCGUGGGGAUCAAACA